RNAcentral lists this ribosomal RNA (443 nucleotides) under uncultured bacterium. RNAcentral's name for it is "partial 16S ribosomal RNA". It matches the Rfam family "Bacterial small subunit ribosomal RNA", at positions 338 to 795 of the family's 1533-position model. The record is from RNAcentral.
CCUACGGGAGGCAGCAGUGGGGAAUAUUGGGCAAUGGGCGCAAGCCUGACCCAGCAACGCCGCGUGAAGGAAGAAGGCCCUCGGGUUGUAAACUUCUUUUAUCAGGGACGAAGCAAGUGACGGUCCCUGAUGAAUAAGCCACGGCUAACUACGUGCCAGCAGCCGCGGUAAUACGUAGGUGGCAAGCGUUAUCCGGAUUUACUGGGUGUACAGGGCGUGUAGGCGGGAAAGCAAGUCAGAUGUGAAAACCAUGGGCUCAACCUGUAGCCUGCAUUUGAAACUGUUUUUCUUGAGUACUGGGGAGGCAGGCGGAAUUCCUGGUGUAGCGGUGAAAUGCGUAGAUAUUAGGAAGAACGCCAGUGGCGAAGGCGGUCUGCUGAACAGCAACUGACGCUGAGGCGCGAAAGCGUGGGGAGCAAACAGGAUUAGAUACCCGGGUAGUC